AUAUUCUGCUAGAUAGUAAAUAAAUAUUUUUUAUUGUACAUUUUUUGAGAGUCGAUAAUUUUAUGAUGGAAAUAUCGUUAAACAUGAAAUUAAAUUACAUUAAUUACGUAAUAAAUGAAAAACCUUCCGAAAAGAAGGGUCUAUUAAAUAGCAGAAUCGUUUCAUAAAACUUUCAUGUAUUUUGUAAAUAUUAAAAAGAAGGUUCUUUAAACGUAGCUAAUAAUUAAAAAAGGGCUAGGACAAUUCGCUAUUUUAUCUUGUAGGCUUUCCUCGAAAAUUCUUCGAUAAUUCUUAUUGUUACAAAUUUUUAUCGAAGAAAAUAUCGAACGGCAAAAACAGAGUAGCAACGUAUUUAUGAAAGAAAUUUUCUCAAGAAGUGACCUUUUUUUAUGAAUGACAAAAGAUCGAUAGUUUAUUUUAUAAAGAUAUUAAUCUUUUGACAUUCUAACAGGGAUCAAACUUUUAAUAUUUUCCUUCUUACAUUGAGUAUAAAUAGAAAAUCAAUAUUUCCAGCGGCCAGUUCUUUUAUAAAUCUUCCUCCGUGAACGAACAUGCUACACAAGGUUUCAAUUAAAGACGAAAGAUUCGAGAAAUAUGGAUACGCAAUGGACACGAGCCAGAUCUAGCUCCAAAUUCAGCCAAGAUGAAAAUCGAAUAUUAAAUCUUCCUGGCGAGUACAAAUUUCAUACCAUAUAUUCGUCUGCAACAGGAUUAAAUAAAUCAACGAAUUUCACGCUUCAUUAUAUGUAUAAGCCAAUCAACAGUUGCGUGCUAACAAUCGCAAUUUUAACUCUUCUUAACGCCUUAAAAAUAAUAUCGAAAAUUCUGUUUUAAAUAUAGAUUCCAUUUAUAUUAGUUAUUCUUCUUUAUUUCCCAGUGCAUCGCAAAUUCCAACAUAUUUUAUAAUUUGUUUGUUAAUUUCGUCUUUCGAAUAAAUGUAAGUUAUCCGAGGA
This is a long non-coding RNA of Bombus huntii, 953 nucleotides long. RefSeq lists it as uncharacterized. Lineage: Eukaryota; Metazoa; Arthropoda; Insecta; Hymenoptera; Apidae. The transcript has 2 exons. The record is from RefSeq and is a predicted model, not a curated record.